CAGUAGCUCAGUCGGAUAGAGCAACUGCCUUCUAAGCAGUGGGUCGCGGGUUCAAUUCCUGCCUGG
Molecule: transfer RNA, 66 nt
Filed under: marine eukaryotic metagenome
Rfam family: tRNA
About the family: Transfer RNA (tRNA) molecules are approximately 80 nucleotides in length. Their secondary structure includes four short double-helical elements and three loops (D, anti-codon, and T loops). Further hydrogen bonds mediate the characteristic L-shaped molecular structure. tRNAs have two regions of fundamental functional importance: the anti-codon, which is responsible for specific mRNA codon recognition, and the 3' end, to which the tRNAs corresponding amino acid is attached (by aminoacyl-tRNA synthetases). tRNAs cope with the degeneracy of the genetic code in two manners: having more than one tRNA (with a specific anti-codon) for a particular amino acid; and 'wobble' base-pairing, i.e. permitting non-standard base-pairing at the 3rd anti-codon position.
Source: RNAcentral